Molecule: long non-coding RNA, 1387 nt
Organism: Rattus rattus (black rat)
Lineage: Eukaryota; Metazoa; Chordata; Mammalia; Rodentia; Muridae
Exons: 2
Source: RefSeq, a predicted model, not a curated record
UUGCCAUACAUUAAGUCUCUACACUUUCUCCUCCUACACAUGUACUACUUCAAGAUUCCCUUAGAAGAGUUCUCUCAACUUCAUCACAGUGAAUGGUCUUUAGCAGAGCAAGUGUGAUUCCAUUCUCUCACAUUUCUAGCUUCACUCAUGUCUUAGACAGUAGAGAAACAUAAAGGAUAUGUUAAUUAGUACAAAGUUCUAGCCAAGGACAGCCAGGUAGAUGAGCCCAGUUUGUUCUCUUUUGUACAGUUUUGCAUUUCUAUAUAUGCCUAUUUGUAUGUAUGUGUUUCAUUUUCAUGCUGUGUGUUUUGUUUUUACUCUGUAUCCUGACUGCAUCCAACCUAAGAAGGAGACUCUGAGUGUAGCACAGGGAACAUAUUGUAAUCAUGCUAUGACAAUGGCCAAUUCAGCAGCUACUUCUCUAAAAGGUGAAUAGAUCUCGGAAGCAAGCAUGAAAACCCUCCCUAAAAUGUCAACAAUUCCCUAGAGGACAAUGAGGCUUUCUAUGGGAAAAGCCAAUAUCUGCCUGGGGUAGAUGACGUGGGGAUGUAUGUCUGUCUCAGCUCAUCCCCUUCAUCAGACUAAACGUAGCAAGAAAAUUCAGGCUUAGAACUUGGAAAACGUCACCUGUGGGUGAAGUAUUCUUUCCAUAAAAACACCAUGAGUGCUGGCCUUGGUGGUAUACUCCUAUAAUCCUACAACUGAAAGGAGCAAAGCAGUAGGAUUACAGCGCAGCCUGGGUUGCAUGAUAAGAACCUGUCUAAAAAAUGGCUGAUAUAUAUAACUUUUACUUAUAUUUGCUGUUCUUUCUUCGGAAUAUCCCCGGACCUCUGAAUCCCAUUUGGCUCAACAUCAUGUCCUAAACUCAACUGAGGAACACCUUUGGACAUUUGUACCUGGAUUGCCCUCAAGCUUGUUUUUUGGUAUUCAUUAUGUAGACCUCCAUACUGUAAUUACAGAUGUUUCUAACCAGAACUGUCACCUGGUAGUUCUGUCAAGAGGAGCAGCCAGUCAACGUGCCACCACAUUCCAGCAACUUACCUAGGAACUGACCACAAACCAAAGUUCCAAGAUCACCUGGACACAAAGAAUCACCUCCUCAUAUUUCUGUAAAUGCUAGUUUAGCUGUACUUGUAAUCCACACUAUUUGGGAGGCUGAGGUGGGAGAAGUACUUAAAUCAAAGAACUGAGUUGACCAUCCUGAACAACAUAAUGUGACCCUAUCUCAACCCAACAAAACAUCAGGAGAUAAAUCCACAGACUUUCUAGUGAUCUUGCUGAGAAAACAGUUUUUAUUGUUAACUGUUAAGGGAUAAUGCCAUUAAUAUUUUAAAUUGAUGCUAUUUCGUUAUUUAAGCCACAAAAAAUAUUCAUUCUGAACAACACA